AGCGAACGCUGGCGGCAGGCCUAACACAUGCAAGUCGAACGAACCUUUCGGGGUUAGUGGCGGACGGGUGAGUAACACGUGGGAACGUGCCUUUAGGUUCGGAAUAACUCAGGGAAACUUGUGCUAAUACCGAAUGUGCCCUUCGGGGGAAAGAUUUAUCGCCUUUAGAGCGGCCCGCGUCUGAUUAGCUAGUUGGUUGAGGUAAUGGCUCACCAAGGCGACGAUCAGUAGCUGGUCUGAGAGGAUGAUCAGCCACAUUGGGACUGAGACACGGCCCAAACUCCUACGGGAGGCAGCAGUGGGGAAUCUUGCGCAAUGGGCGAAAGACUGACGCAGCCAUGCCGCGUGAAUGAUGAAGGUCUUAGGAUUGUAAAAUUCUUUCACCGGGGACGAUAAUGACGGUACCCGGAGAAGAAGCCCCGGCUAACUUCGUGC
Molecule: ribosomal RNA, 435 nt
Filed under: uncultured bacterium
Lineage: Bacteria
Description: partial 16S ribosomal RNA
Rfam family: Bacterial small subunit ribosomal RNA
Source: RNAcentral